Oryctolagus cuniculus (rabbit) is the source of this 330-nucleotide non-coding RNA. Lineage: Eukaryota; Metazoa; Chordata; Mammalia; Lagomorpha; Leporidae. The record is from RefSeq and is a predicted model, not a curated record.
GGCUAACUUGCACCAUGCAAGCUGGCAGUCAGGUGCCUCGGCUGACUGUGAAGUGACCGCUGUAGGGUGAGAGCCGGGGCUGGAGAGGCUGCCGGAGCCCAGCGCCGCAGCCUGGGAAUUCAGUCCCUGCAGCUCAGAACCUCACCAGGACGCGGUCCGCACCCACGCUGGGGUCCAGGGCUGAAUUCUGCACGUGCAGCUCGGGGCAAGAGGACAAUGCGGCCCCAGCCUCUGGGUCCAGAUGUCCCCAAGUUACACCAACAGACUGGUACCUAAGUAGACUCCAUCGAUAACAGCUGGAAAUGCAGAUGGCUGGUUUUAAUUUCUAAA